GCGCGAAAACUUUACAAUGCUGGCAACAGCGAUAAGGGAACCUCGAGUGCCAGGUUACAAAUCUGGCUGUCGAGAUGCCUAAAAAGCAUUUCAUAGCAAGGGCCGGGCAAGACCGGUGCCAGCCGCCGCGGUAACACCGGCGGCUCGAGUGGUAACCGUUAUUAUUGGGUCUAAAGGGUCUGUAGCCGGCCGGAUAAGUCUCUUGAGAAAUCUGGCAGCUUAACUGUCAGGCUUUCAGGAGAUACUGUCUGGCUCGAGGCCGGGAGAGGUGAGAGGUACUUCAGGGGUAGGGUGAAAUCUUGUAAUCCUUGAAGGACCACCAGUGGCGAAGGCGUCUCACCAGAACGGACCUGACGGCAAGGGACGAAAGCUAGGGGCACGAACCGGAUUAGAGACCCC
RNAcentral lists this ribosomal RNA (399 nucleotides) under uncultured bacterium. RNAcentral's name for it is "bacterial SSU rRNA". It matches the Rfam family "Archaeal small subunit ribosomal RNA", at positions 339 to 739 of the family's 1478-position model. The record is from RNAcentral.